UACGGAGGGAGCUAGCGUUGUUCGGAAUUACUGGGCGUAAAGCGCACGUAGGCGGCUUUGUAAGUUAGAGGUGAAAGCCCGGGGCUCAACCCCGGAAUUGCCUUUAAGACUGCAUCGCUUGAAUCCGGGAGAGGUGAGUGGAAUUCCGAGUGUAGAGGUGAAAUUCGUAGAUAUUCGGAAGAACACCAGUGGCGAAGGCGGCUCACUGGCCCGGUACUGACGCUGAGGUGCGAAAGCGUGGGGGAGCAAACAGG
RNAcentral lists this ribosomal RNA (254 nucleotides) under uncultured bacterium. Its description in RNAcentral is "partial 16S ribosomal RNA". It matches the Rfam family "Bacterial small subunit ribosomal RNA", at positions 524 to 776 of the family's 1533-position model. The record is from RNAcentral.